RNAcentral lists this non-coding RNA (24 nucleotides) under Arabidopsis thaliana (thale cress). The record is from RNAcentral. Lineage: Eukaryota; Viridiplantae; Streptophyta; Magnoliopsida; Brassicales; Brassicaceae.
GUACGUAGCGGGUGGGUCCUGAAA